Molecule: ribosomal RNA, 496 nt
Filed under: uncultured bacterium
Lineage: Bacteria
Description: partial 16S ribosomal RNA
Rfam family: Bacterial small subunit ribosomal RNA
Source: RNAcentral
GAUGAACGCUGGCGGCGUGCCUAAUACAUGCAAGUCGAGCGAACAGACGAGGAGCUUGCUCCUCUGACGUUAGCGGCGGACGGGCGAGUAACACGUGGAUAACCUACCUAUAAGACUGGGAUAACUUCGGGAAACCGGAGCUAAUACCGGAUAAUAUAUUGAACCGCAUGGUUCAAUAGUGAAAGACGGUUUGCUGUCACUUAUAGAUGGAUCCGCGCCGCAUUAGCUAGUUGGUAAGGUAACGGCUUACCAAGGCAACGAUGCGUAGCCGACCUGAGAGAGUGAUCGGCCACACUGGAACUGAGACACGGUCCAGACUCCUACGGGAGGCAGCAGUAGGGAAUCUUCCGCAAUGGGCGAAAGCUUGACGGAGCAACGCCGCGUGAGUGAUGAAGGUCUUCGGAUCGUAAAACUCUGUUAUUAGGGAAGAACAAAUGUGUAAGUAACUAUGCACGUCUUGACGGUACCUAAUCAGAAAGCCACGGCUAACUACGUG